RNAcentral lists this ribosomal RNA (865 nucleotides) under Amanita griseopantherina. RNAcentral's name for it is "eukaryotic LSU rRNA". It matches the Rfam family "Eukaryotic large subunit ribosomal RNA", at positions 65 to 907 of the family's 3401-position model. Lineage: Eukaryota; Fungi; Basidiomycota; Agaricomycetes; Agaricales; Amanitaceae. The record is from RNAcentral.
CUAACAAGGAUUCCCCUAGUAACUGCGAGUGAAGAGGGAAGAGCUCAAAUUUGAAAUCUGGCAGUGUUUUGCUGUCCGAGUUGUAAUCUAGAGAAGUGCUGCCCGUGCUGGACCAUGUACAAGUCUCCUGGAAUGGAGCGUCACAGAGGGUGAGAAUCCCGUCUUUGACAUGGACUGCCAGUGCAUUUGUGGUGUGCUCUCAAAGAGUCGAGUUGUUUGGGAAUGCAGCUCUAAAUGGGUGGUAAACUCCAUCUAAAGCUAAAUAUUGGCGAGAGACCGAUAGCGAACAAGUACCGUGAGGGAAAGAUGAAAAGAACUUUGGAAAGAGAGUUAAACAGUAUGUGAAAUUGUUGAAAGGGAAACGCUUAAAGUCAGUCGUGUCGGCCAGGGAUCAACUCAGUAUUAUCUGCUGGGUGUACUUCCUGAUCUGAUGGGCCAACAUCAGUUUUGACUGCUGGAGAAGGAUAGAGGGAAUGUGGCACCUUUGGGUGUGUUAUAGCUCUCUGUCGGAUGCAGUGGUUGGGACUGAGGAAUGCAGCAUGCCGCAAGGCCGGGUCGUUUCGACCACGUUCAUGCUGAGGAUGUUGGCAUAAUGGCUUUAAUCGACCCGUCUUGAAACACGGACCAAGGAGUCUAACAUGCCUGCGAGUGUUUGGGUGGCAAACCCGAGUGCGGAAUGAAAGUGAAAGGUUGAGAUCCCUGUCAUGGGGAGCAUCGACGCCCGGACCUGAGCUCAAUGCAAAGGAUCUGCGGUAGAGCAUGUAUGUUAGGACCCGAAAGAUGGUGAACUAUGCCUGAAUAGGGUGAAGCCAGAGGAAACUCUGGUGGAGGCUCGUAGCGAUUCUGACGUGCAAAUCGAUCGUCG